This 433-nucleotide ribosomal RNA is filed under the name uncultured bacterium. RNAcentral's name for it is "partial 16S ribosomal RNA". It matches the Rfam family "Bacterial small subunit ribosomal RNA", at positions 29 to 507 of the family's 1533-position model. The record is from RNAcentral.
AGCGAACGCUGGCGGCAGGCCUAACACAUGCAAGUCGAACGGAUCCUUCGGGAUUAGUGGCGGACGGGUGAGUAACACGUGGGAACGUGCCCUUUGGUUCGGAACAACUCAGGGAAACUUGAGCUAAUACCGGAUGUGCCCCUCGGGGGAAAGAUUUAUCGCCAUUGGAGCGGCCCGCGUCUGAUUAGCUAGUUGGUGAGGUAACGGCCCACCAAGGCGACGAUCAGUAGCUGGUCUGAGAGGAUGAUCAGCCACACUGGGACUGAGACACGGCCCAGACUCCUACGGGAGGCAGCAGUGGGGAAUCUUGCGCAAUGGGCGAAAGCCUGACGCAGCCAUGCCGCGUGAAUGAUGAAGGUCUUAGGAUUGUAAAAUUCUUUCAGCGGGGACGAUAAUGACGGUACCCGCAGAAGAAGCUCCGGCUAACUUCGUG